Molecule: long non-coding RNA, 1151 nt
Filed under: Triticum aestivum (bread wheat)
Lineage: Eukaryota; Viridiplantae; Streptophyta; Magnoliopsida; Poales; Poaceae
Description: long non-coding RNA (TAES_LNC003875)
Rfam family: MIR1120/MIR1122 microRNA precursor family (bases 587-711)
Source: RNAcentral
GCCAGACCACAGGUCCGCACCGACCCAAAUCGGAUAAGGAAGAGGCGACGGGACGGCUUCCGUCCCCAUCGAACAACUGCCCCCAAUUCCGCAUUCCGAUCCAAACGGCGGCCUCGGCCGCCUCCCGGCCAUCCGCCGUCGUCGCCUCAACGGCGAGGGAGAGAGGGCCCUGGCUCGUCGUCCUCCUCCUCUGAAGGAGAAUUUACUCCCGCCGCCUGUCGCUUGUCUCGCUGAUGCGCCAUCGCGAGCUGACGCCGACGCCCUGCGCCGUCGGGCCGUUCGACAUCCGUUGGCUGCUGCCGAAGCCGCGCCUCACCGACGCCAUGCGCCGUCGCGACGUUCGACAUCCGUUGGUUGCUGCCGAAGCCGUGCCUCACCGGCCCCAAGCGGUCGUGGCCCAGGGCCACCGCGCGGGCAAGGCGCCGCUGCGCACACCAUGUACGUGGUGCCGCCAACGCGACUGAUGCGGGUGAGUGGUUUUCGCCUGUUACCUCUCGGCUGCAUGUGCGUGCUGUGGCUGACGAAUUCCUUCUUCUUGCUUGGAGUAUCGAUCAUAUCUCCUGCGCCUAGGCUACAUGCCGAUUAGUUAUUACUCCCUCCGUCCGAAAAUACUUGUCGAAGAAAUGGAUAUAAAUGGAUGUAUUUAGAACUAAAAUAUAUCUAGAUACAUCCAUUUUUAGGACAAGUAUUUUCGGACGGAGGGAGUAGAUCGUUGAUUUAAUCACAAGAGACAGCUCCUGAUUCAUAUUUUGUAGGGAUGCAUGAUCUUCUUUGCCAUGGAUGGCCUGGUGCAUCGCUGCGUUCAGUGCCCAGAGCAACGUCUAGAGGCAUUUCCUCUCUUCUGUGAUCUUGGGCGUGGCCUCAUGACCGUCGUCAACGCCGACGCCGAAGUUCACCGCUGAAGUCUGCGUCCCUGCGUCGCUUGGUCGCCAUUGUUUGAGCGUGAAGAUCGUACAUAACCGAUGCCUCCUAUUCUUCCAGCAAUUUUCUCUCCCAUGGAGUUCGCCGGACAUGAGACUGCCAGAGUUGCUGCCCCGAUUCUCGCCGGGGACGGCGAAGUUCAUCUGGCCUAUUCGCUCUCUGCGGAGAGACGUGCGUGAUAACGUGUUAAUAGACAGAUUACGAAAUGAAUCCAAUCAGUAUCAAUUUCA